GGUGGCCCAUGUGUAUAGUCCCUGCUUCUUGAAAGGCUGAGACAGGGAAAUAGUUUGACCCUAGAAGUUCCAGGAGACCUUGGCAACAUAGUGAAGCUUCACUUCAGGUAAGUAACUAAGUAAUCUACCUUUGGCUCUACAGGCAUAGCUUGGUGGUAGAGUGCCUGCUCAGCAUGGAGGAGGCCCUGAAAUCAAUCCUAGAACUGCAAAACCCAUUUUAAGCCCUUCCCCCAGUGAUAUGAAAUCUUCAGUGUCCAUAAAGUUUUACUGGAGCACAGCUAGACUCAUGAUUUACAUACAAGUCCUCUAUGGCUGUUGAUACCCUGCAAUGGCAGAAUUGAAUAGUCACAACUGAAACCACAUAGUCUUGAAGCUGAAACUAUUUGCUAGUAAGAGGUGUGUAUGUGUGUGUGUGUGUGUGUGUGUGUGUGUGUGUUGGUCCUGGGGCUUGAACUCAGG
Molecule: long non-coding RNA, 459 nt
Organism: Perognathus longimembris pacificus (Pacific pocket mouse)
Lineage: Eukaryota; Metazoa; Chordata; Mammalia; Rodentia; Heteromyidae
Exons: 3
Source: RefSeq, a predicted model, not a curated record